Molecule: ribosomal RNA, 393 nt
Filed under: uncultured bacterium
Lineage: Bacteria
Description: partial 16S ribosomal RNA
Rfam family: Bacterial small subunit ribosomal RNA
Source: RNAcentral
AUACGGAGGAUGCAAGCGUUAUCCGGAUUUAUUGGGUUUAAAGGGUGCGUAGGCGGACAGUCAAGCAGGGGGUGAAAUGCCGGCGCUCAACGCCGGAGCUGCCUUCUGAACUGGCUGUCUGGAGUGGCAGUGCCGUUGGAGGAAUGAGUGGUGUAGCGGUGAAAUGCUUAGAUAUCACUCAGAACACCGAUUGCGAAGGCAUCUGACGAACUGCCCACUGACGCUGAGGCACGAAAGCGUGGGGAUCAAACAGGAUUAGAUACCCUGGUAGUCCACGCCGUAAACGAUGGGCGCUCGUCGUCGGCGGCAGACAGUCGGCGGCCAAGCGAAAGCGAUAAGCGCCCCACCUGGGGAGUACGGUCGCAAGGCUGAAACUUAAAGGAAUUGACGGGG